CGGGCCAGCUAGGCGACCGCUCCGGUCAUAGGCCGGAGAGGAAAGUCCGCACUUCAGAGAGCGUGGUAGCGGGUAACGCCCGUCGCCCGAGCUGGUUUUGCUAGCGAGGGUCGGAAUAGGAGCACAGUGACGAUGCCCGGCCGGCUUAAUACGUCGACGGGAGUGAAACGGCCAACCUCUACCAGAAGCAAGGUCAAGACGGGACGUUACGAGGCUGCUCGUCCAGUCCCAGGUAGACCGCACGAGGCCGUUGGUAACGGCGGUCCCAGAUAGAUGGUCGCCCUCGACAGAAUGCGGCUUAUCGGCUGGUCCGAUGC
RNAcentral lists this RNase P RNA (317 nucleotides) under Fidelibacterota bacterium. RNAcentral describes it as "RNase P RNA component class A". It matches the Rfam family "Bacterial RNase P class A". From Rfam's summary of the family: Ribonuclease P (RNase P) is a ubiquitous endoribonuclease, found in archaea, bacteria and eukarya as well as chloroplasts and mitochondria. Its best characterised activity is the generation of mature 5'-ends of tRNAs by cleaving the 5'-leader elements of precursor-tRNAs. Cellular RNase Ps are ribonucleoproteins. The record is from RNAcentral. Lineage: Bacteria; Pseudomonadati; Fidelibacterota.